ACAUUGUGUUAUUAAUAUUCCGUUGUACAGUUUUGAAAGUAAGCCUGAGAUCUAGAGCGUACGUAGAUCUGGUCAUAAAGAAACUGAAGCCAAUGAAGAUGACCACAGGCGACAUGGAGUACAUGCAGCCACUACGGACGACACUAUUACUAGUCGCACUUAGAUAUCACAGGAUUUAUAACACAAAAGUUCUUGCCGUACAAGGUGGAAAGGACAUACCAACACAUCCAGGGACUCAUCAAUCUGAUAGUGGCCAACAGAAUAACAGAUAGAACUGGAAUAUCUAGCCAAAACCCUUGCAUCAAAUAGAUCCCAGAAGAUUCAAACUCCUAGCCCAUGCUCCUCCACCAUCUACUGCCCAAAUGGUAGAGGAGAAGAAAUCCCAAUUAAGAUGAAUGGGAAUAAUUGACAUUUUGAGACUAAUCACGUUCCAGAGACUAUUACUUUUGAAUAUCUGUCCUUACGUUUAGUAGCUGACCUGGUCCGAAGGACCAAGGUGAGUAUGCCAUACUGAGGCGUCCGGCAUUCGUCUAUCAACAUUGUGAACACAAUAUUUGAAUAACUUGAGUAAAUGUCAGAAUAUACCAAAUUUGAUAAAACUUUAUAAGCAGCCAUAUAUCGACAAGAUCUCAGACAACUUCAAAAAUAGAAAUUAUUGGACAGUAGUUUUUGACAGUAGUUUGCAGAGUUAUUGCCCUUUGUAAUGGUCUUAUUAUUAACAUUUUUUUAGUUCACUGGUCAGAAUGGAAACUCUUUUAGAAAUUCUACUAGUCCUGAACAAUUAAAUGGAUUUGAUGAAAUUUGGUCAGGAGAAUUAUGUGGCAAUGUUAUAUGUUGCAUAAAUGAAGCGUCACCAUCAUCUGAGUGGCACCUUUCGGGGCAAAAUAAGAGAAUUACCUGGUAUAGCAAAAAAAAAAAGGAUUUAACUCAUUUUUUUUUU
Pecten maximus is the source of this 940-nucleotide long non-coding RNA. RefSeq lists it as uncharacterized. NCBI's taxonomy places the organism in Eukaryota, Metazoa, Mollusca, Bivalvia, Pectinida, Pectinidae. The transcript is spliced from 2 exons. The record is from RefSeq and is a predicted model, not a curated record.